AAGGGUCUUAGCUGCUCGUAGAUUAAAUUUGAGUUCAAAUGUCCAUUCAAAUCUUUCGAUCAACUCAUGACAGUGUUGUCAAAAAAAUAAAUCUAAUUAAUUAUUUUUUUUAAUUAUAAAUUAUAUUUGAUUGUUAGUUAACAUCUGCAAUGUAUCAUUAGGAAAAUACUUCUAAUUCGACGGUACGUAAUUUUUAUGAUGGUAAAA
Molecule: long non-coding RNA, 207 nt
Filed under: Elaeis guineensis (African oil palm)
Lineage: Eukaryota; Viridiplantae; Streptophyta; Magnoliopsida; Arecales; Arecaceae
Description: long non-coding RNA (EGUI_LNC077446)
Source: RNAcentral